Medicago truncatula (barrel medic) is the source of this 1660-nucleotide long non-coding RNA. RefSeq lists it as uncharacterized. The record is from RefSeq and is a predicted model, not a curated record. The transcript is spliced from 2 exons. Lineage: Eukaryota; Viridiplantae; Streptophyta; Magnoliopsida; Fabales; Fabaceae.
AUUUGAUAUGUUAAAUGAUUGUUUGUGAUAUCUGGUUUAGAGAGUUGUAAUGACACAUGGUUUAGAACAAUUAUAAUGACACAUAUGGGUUAGACAUGUGUUUUAAUGACUAUCUGAAUUUGUUUAUGGUUUCUCCAGUUUAUGAUUUUGUUCCUGUAAUUGAGAGCUCUAAGUGCAUCACUGUGAUGAAAGCAUUUUUUGUUAUCUUCAUAGUAGAUUAUUUUUUUGUUUAUUAGUUGUUUUCAUAGUAGAUUUUUUUUUAUUCAUAGCUAUAUUUGAUAUUAACUUUGUCCUAGCUAUAAGGCAAUAAGGUCAGUUCAUUAUGCUUCAUUUUUGCUGCUAAGUGAUAUGCCACAUGCUACUACUGUGUGUACUACUAGGUGCUUAGUUUGUGUUUUCUACCAUACCUUUUUGCGAUACAUGAGGGAAAGAGUGCGGGAGGGGAUUGUGUGCAACGUGUGACGAAAAAUAGGAUACAUACAAAUGAUAAUUGGAAAGUGACGUUGACUCCAAAUAUGCAUUUUCCAUUAUGGCACAAAGAAGCCGAGACAGUUACGCGACCGAUUUCAGUCGUGUUCACUAUUGUUUGUCCAUUAGUAUCUCCAGACAAGUUUUUUAUGCCUUUUCAUAUAAUAUGCAUAGUUCAGCUUUUUGCUACUUUGAUAUUUGUCUAUGUACUUGGUUUGGAUACUAAACACAAGAUGAUACUUGACUAUUAGAAAGAUGUAAACAACUAUAGAAGUAUUUUAUUUAUAUAGGCAGAAUAUGGAUCCUUUUUCAGUCAUUUUUUGUUGCGGCAUUUAUAUAGGUUUAAAUACAUAAGUUUUAUUUUUCUGUUACCAAGCAUUCCCGGUCUUGAAAUAUUGGUUUAAGGAGAAUUUUCUACAUGGUAAUGAAGUCUUCCUCUACAGACGAGGUUACAAAUUCUGAUGCAACUAAUUUUUUAAAUAAAGGAACACAUCUUUUUCUUUGUAAUUGCUUUAAUAUUGAUAUAUGAUGUGGUCUUUAAUAAUGGAGUCCAUGCUGCAGAAUUUCAUUAUGGCAAGGAGUACACAAGAAGUUGCCGAGGGAUUGCUUAAAUUAAAGGCUUAAUAGGUCUGAUCGAUGUUGAUUACGAGUCUGAUCUGUUGCUUCGAACUAACCUUUUGAAACUAUGCACUUACCUCAUGGAAUUCGAUACAACCAAUGUAAGUCAUAUUGCCUUAUUGUGAAACAUCGAAACUUUCUUUUUGAUUGGUUAUUGAUCUCCAUUUUUCUGAUGAAAAUUAUACAUAUUGCCUUAUUAUGUGGCUUUUUAUGGGUCCUGGCUUUGUUUUUUGGAGUUUUUCCUGGCAUUAGUGGUGUGCAGCAGCUGCUGGUGUGUCUGGCAUCAGCUGGUAUGGCGGGAGUGCUGCAAUUUUGCGGUUUUGGAAGUUUUUAGAGAGGUCUGUUAUGCCUUAGUAACCGUUGGUUUGCCUGAGUUUUGUUUAUGUUCCACUUCUCAGUUGGAGUUAGGAAUCUUAGGGGUUUUUUUAUUGAGUUUUCCUUUUGGUGUUGAGGUGUCUACUGUUAUAUGGCGCCUUAUUGCACUCCUUUUCCUCCUUUGUGGGACAAUGUACAAAGAAGUGUUCCAGAAUGUUCGAUAGCCUAUUUUAUUAUUCCAUGUUUGUUGUUGUCACAA